CCAUGGUGGAGGCUGGGGUCAGCCCCAUGGUGGUGGCUGG
Molecule: non-coding RNA, 40 nt
Organism: Cynopterus sphinx (Indian short-nosed fruit bat)
Lineage: Eukaryota; Metazoa; Chordata; Mammalia; Chiroptera; Pteropodidae
Source: Rfam